This 305-nucleotide ribosomal RNA is filed under the name uncultured bacterium. RNAcentral's name for it is "bacterial SSU rRNA". It matches the Rfam family "Bacterial small subunit ribosomal RNA", at positions 335 to 658 of the family's 1533-position model. The record is from RNAcentral.
UCCCUACGGGAGGCAGCAGUGGGGAAUAUUGCACAAUGGGGGAAACCCUGAUGCAGCGACGCCGCGUGAGUGAAGAAGUAUUUCGGUAUGUAAAGCUCUAUCAGCAGGGAAGAAAAUGACGGUACCUGACUAAGAAGCCCCGGCUAACUACGUGCCAGCAGCCGCGGUGAUACGUAGGGGGCAAGCGUUAUCCGGAUUUACUGGGUGUAAAGGGAGCGUAGACGGCUUGGCAAGUCUGAUGUGAAAGGCAGGGGCUCAACUCCUGGACUGCAUUGGAAACUGCUUGGCUUGAGUGCCGGAGAGGG